This 4420-nucleotide long non-coding RNA is filed under the name Marmota monax (woodchuck). The record is from RNAcentral. Lineage: Eukaryota; Metazoa; Chordata; Mammalia; Rodentia; Sciuridae.
AAUAAGUAAAAAUUUGAAGCAAUAGAAAAGUGGCACAAUUUUCUACUUAGGUCCUAAAUGAUUUUCAAAUUAUUCUUACAUCUCUGAAUAUUUUAGGAAAAAAAGAAUGAGAUAAGAAUGGGAAAAACAAAAUGAGAAAACAAAAUGUGAAAAUGAGUUUGAUGGAAUAAUGAAAUAAAAAAAAUUAAACAAUGUACAAGAUUUUAAUAUAUUACAUAUCUAUAUCUAUAUUUAUAUCUAUAUCUAUAUCUAUAUCUAUAUCUAUCUAUCUCAAGAAACUAAAACGUGACUCUGUUGCAUAUAAUGGAUUCAUUUGGCUCUGACUGUAGUGCCAAUGCAGGAAAAGAAAAUAAGCAUGUUAACUUUCCCUCUACUUGGUCUCAGGAAAUUCAAUCAAAUAAGUCUUUAAAUAUCUCAUGGUGAUUGGGCAUCUAAGCUCUAAGUUUAACAAUGUACAAUUGAACAACUCAGAAAACUGUUUACCUUAGACUAACACAUUUCCAUGGUUGUUUAUACAAUGUAGAGUUUUGGGAGCAUUACUUGUGAUUGUGGUUUCAUUCCUCCAAACAUUUUCCGUUUCUUUGUUAUUUUUGAUUUAUUUCUCUUUGUUUCCAUCCCCUCACUUUACGAAGUUCACACGGUGUGUUGAGUAAUGACUUUACUGUUGUAAUUGUCAUUGGAAGCAGCCUAUUUGUGUUGGAGAAUUAUAAGUGUCCUUACUGGAGCCAACGCUUCAACAAGUUUGUAUUAUUCAUGAGGAAGAUCCACAAAUUGUAGGAGCUGGUAAGAAAGAACACCAAGACUUGAUUUAAAGUUCUUUCAGAAGAACCGAGGAAGAUAGAUGGCCUGGAAGAUUUUUGGUAUCACAUCUGAACUCUCAUCAGUCAAGGGAAGGUAUUUUCAAAACUAGGUGGUCAAAAUGGCAUCACAGGAAUUUUCUGACUUCCAUUCUUGAAUAGGAGAGUCUAAAAGACAAGACAAAGAAAUCCUCAUCCUUCAGCAUUUUUAUGCAAAAUGAUAACAUUUAGAAGAAAAUUGGAAACAGCCAAUUUCUGAGAAUUACGCACAAAGAACUAACUAUAGUGUGGUCAUUGUUUGUGUUAAUACUAUUAAAUGUUUGGGGGGAAUUUGAUUUUGAUUGAAACCAGGAUUGUUUCCUUUUCCAAAUGACCAGAUCAGGUUCUGUGGAUACAUGUUCCUGCAGUCUUUCUUCAUUGUGCUGAUCAUACAUUUAAUUUCUUCAUUGUCUUCCCCCCCCAGUCUGUAAGUUUCAGAGGGGAUGAACUGGGUCCACCAUGCACUCUCUCAUUCCCCUCACUAGCAACAUGUGGACUUGGCACAUGGUAAGUCCUUCAUUAUUUGUUGCUCAACUGGCAAACAGGAGCAUGGAAGUAAGUGAAUUAUAUGUAGAACAUUUCAUUUUGAAGAUAUCUGUGUGGAAUAGAAGGCAGGGGGUAAAUAUUCUACUUGAAUCAGUCUCAUUUUUUUUCUCCCCAGUCUCAUUUCUUGACUCUUUGAGGCUCUUGCUAGUUUUGACUCAUUUCCAAGAUUCUAAGUCUGAUUUGUCAUUGUCCCCUGCAAAUCCUUGGAAAGAACUAAUCCUAUGUACAAAAGACUGUUCAUAAAUAUUUAUUUCUUGGAUAUUGUUCAUUUUUGACUGAUCUGGGGGUCUUGGCUACAAUUUUUUCAGCUGGGUUUGGUAUGAAUCUAGUUGACUAUGGAAUCUGAGGUUAUCCUGAACAGAUGUUAGGCCUAGAAUUGGUUCUAACAUAUACAUUAUUGGUUCUAACAUAAUGCAUGUGUGUGUGUAUGUGUGAGUGUGUGUGUGUUCAUGUGCACACUUAUGAAGCUAGGUCAAACCUCUUUUGACUGCUCUAGGAUGACCCAGUUUUUCCAAGAAGAAUAUGGAAGCAUUCUUUAAAUAUACUAAUUGAGCGCUAAGGUUGUAAAUUUUGCAUAUUGGCUACAAAGUUCAGUUGCAUGAUUAUUGUCACUGAUUUCGAAAUAUUUCUAAAGCAUUAUAUUGCAAUACUAUUUAUCAUUUUUGACUAUGCCAUUAUUUUUUCAAGCUUCCAGGCUUUUGUGUUUACUCUCUAUUUUGUUCAAAAAUUUUCUUAUUAUUCUCCUCUUCACCACAACUCUUUUACUUCUCCCACUCCAUGCCCCCUGCAAAAAUUAAUAAAUAAAAACCCAACUACUCUGUAUAUUUACAUAUAUACAUACACAUAUAUUACAUACUUUCUCAUAUUGAUGCUUUGCACACAUCUAUUCUUGCAUGCUUGAUUUUCUGCAUUCCCUUCUAGACCUUACAUAAACCAUGCAAAGACUCACAUGGCACUUAUCCUAUAUUCCCAGUUCUUACCCAAUACCUGCCAUAUGGUUGGUUGAUGUUAUCUCUUUGUUGGAUAAAGAAUGAAUGAAUGAACAUGUGGCCUAGACUACAUUUCUGAUUAUGCCUAUGUUCAUGCUAGCUCGCUUUUUAACAGUUUUGGUAGAGCUGGGAAAGGCAAAAUAUGAGAAAUGAUGUUCUUAUCUCAGCUUCUGAGACGGAUUGUGUGUGUAACUAUUUGCUUGCUGCUAUGGUCCUAUCACCUUUGCUAUGGGUGUGUGUCACAUACAUAAGCCUUAUAAAACCAUUGCAGACCAUGACACAGCCUUUCAACUAAAAUAUUUCCACUAAAGAUGCAUAGAUUUCAGCUUGUAUGUUGUUUUCCAAACUCUGUGUGCCGGUGAGUUGUCUCUCAUUGUCAAACCUUUUCCUCUGGCUGUCCACCAUUGGGACUCCUCCACCCAUCAUGCUCCUCCAUCUGCUACCACCACAUCAGUGCAACUGAAUGCAGCAUCAUUGAUUCUGUACUCUUUGCCUGCUCUCGAAUUUGGCCAUAGAUUUGGAUGGAGAACAAAUGAGGUCUAAUAGUGUGUUACCCUCAAUUCCGCAUUCUGUCUCAGAAGAUCACCAGGUGGGGUGGGGCUAAGGGGCCCCACCAUCUCUGCAAGAAAGUGGUGGUGGGUGCCCUCAGAAUUUAGGAUUGUUCUCUCAGAACCUUUAAUUUAUGCUUAAAAAUAUGUAAAACCAUACAUCUUUCUUUUCUGCACUUGAAAAACUGAGUUCUUCAUGUUGAUUCUUUGUACCACAAGCUACAUUGGACAUGGAGACGUAUCUUUAUACAUCAGAAACAAGACUCAGUAUUAAUUCAGAACAUCUGGGCUUAGUUCUUGACUGGUCUAUAGAUAGCUAUAUAACUUUGGGCAAGUUACUUCAUCCCUUCAAGAUACAGUUUUCAUCUCUAAAAGGGAAGUGUUGAAGGUAUCUCUAAAGUCACUCAUAGUUCUGGAAUUUUAUUACUUGUUCUUGCUAUCCUUCAAUAUUAAUAUAAAUUUCUACCUUUAUUAUUAUUCCUUUGAACAAAAAGGGGAUACCACAGACUCUACAGAUAAUGUACCACUCUGAAAACAAAACCCAAGACGUGCUUAUUAAAUAAAUUAGAUAGUCAUAUCCCAGUCAUGUUUCUAUUUUCCUUUUAACAGAAAGGGAAUAUUUCAUCCAUAGAAAGUAUGCUAUUUCUAACAUAAAGAAGAUAUCAUUUCGGGGCCCUCAAGAAAGUACUAAAAGUUUAACUCACUUUUUCUUUACACCAUCAGAAAGUCAGAUGAAACAUUUCAGUCACUGGGCUAGAAUCUUGAACCAUGUGUAUCCCUAGCAUAAUUUGUUAAAAAGGCUGUCUUUUCUCCCAUGUAUAUUUUUGGCACCUUUGUCAAAGAUCAAAUGACUUUGGAUGUGUGGGUUUGCCUCAUCUAUUUUACACCAUUGUCUAUAAUACAGUAAAUCAUAGUGAUCUUUUCAUAUAAGGAGAUUCUCUCAAUGAUGUCUAUAAAUAUUGCACUGUGUGGAAAGAUCAACAGUUUAAUAAAACCUCUUUUUAAAAUGGGGAAACUAUGCUGUUCUCAAUUUUUGUAAUCACAAACAGUGCUUCAUUGUGUGUCUCGGUGUUGCCCAGACCUUGGCUGAGCACCCAUACAAGUAUUUCUGUUAGAUAAAUUCCUAGAAGUGGAAUUAUUGAGAUAAAGAGAUGACAUAUUCUUAAUUUUGAUAGAUAUUCUUAAAUUAGCCUUUUAAGUUAAUGUUCCAAAUUCUAUUUGAGCCAACUGCUAUUAUAAGAGUUUUUGCUUUAAUUCCCAGUAUCAUCAGAUAUUAUAAAUCUUCAAGUUUUGUCAAGUUGAAGAGUUAAAAAAAAAUCUAACUACAUCUCAUUGUUUUAACUUGCAUUUCUGAUUAUUACCAAGGCUAAACAUUGUUUAUGGUAGAGUUUACUUCUUUUUAUACAGUUUCACUUUGUAUUUUUACUAUGCUGCUCCAUUGAGGUAUUUUUUUUGCGUAACAAUGCUUAGUUAUUGGGUUAUUUUUUUGCAGAAGCUUUUA